CCUACGGGAGGCAGCAGUGAGGAAUAUUGGUCAAUGGUCGGGAGACUGAACCAGCCAAGCCGCGUGAGGGAUGAAGGUACAGAGUAUCGUAAACCUCUUUUGUCAGGGAACAAAGGCGGGGACGUGUCCCCGGAUGAGUGUACCUGAAGAAAAAGCAUCGGCUAACUCCGUGCCAGCAGCCGCGGUAAUACGGAGGAUGCGAGCGUUAUCCGGAUUUAUUGGGUUUAAAGGGUGCGCAGGCGGGCUGUUAAGUCAGUGGUCAAAGCCCGGGGCCCAACCCCCGCCCCGCCGUUGAAACUGGCAGGCUCGAGUUGGAGAGAGGUAUGCGGAAUGCGCGGUGUAGCGGUGAAAUGCAUAGAUAUCGCGCAGAACUCCGAUUGCGAAGGCAGCAUGCCGGCUCCACACUGACGCUGAGGCACGAAAGCGUGGGUAUCGAACAGGAUUAGAUACCCUGGUAGUC
Molecule: ribosomal RNA, 460 nt
Filed under: uncultured bacterium
Lineage: Bacteria
Description: partial 16S ribosomal RNA
Rfam family: Bacterial small subunit ribosomal RNA
Source: RNAcentral